Molecule: long non-coding RNA, 357 nt
Filed under: Rattus norvegicus (Norway rat)
Lineage: Eukaryota; Metazoa; Chordata; Mammalia; Rodentia; Muridae
Description: long non-coding RNA NONRATT021851
Source: RNAcentral
GGGCUUGGUGGGAGGAGGUUAGAGACGGAAAGAAAGAAAUGGUAACCGAACCAGUGGAGCGGAUAAGGACUCAGCGACACCAGUGGCCCGCUACUCAGGGCACACCUGCCCCUUCGUCGGCUACAUCCCACCAUCACCACCACCAAUGUCAACUCCAGUCCCUUCACACACCCGAUACCCCUUUGUCACCCCCUCCAGGAAGUCCGCAGUCCCCAAGCUGGUGCGCCACCCCACCCCCUUCGCGCUCCUCACCGACCUGUUGUGCGCAGAAGACGAACUGGGGGUGGGGUGGGGGAACCGGGCCCCAUCUCUAGCAGAGACCCCAAUCCCGCCAAUCCCACAGGCCUGCGCUCCCUG